UUUUUGAAAAUAAUAUAAAGUCUAACCUGCCCAUUGAAUUAAUUUAAAAGGCCGCAGUAUUUUAACUGUGCAAAGGUAGCAUAAUCAUUAGUUUUCUAAUUAAAAGCUAGAAUGAAUGGUUUGAUAAGAAAAAAACUGUUUCAAUACUAACUAACUUAAAUUUUAUUUUUAAGUUAAAAAGCUUAAAUAUAUUUAAAAGACGAGAAGACCCUAUAGAGUUUUAUUUUAUUAAAUUAAUUUUAAAUAAUUUUCUUAUAAAAUUAAAAUUUUAUAAAAUUAAAUUGGGGUGAUUAAAAAAUUUAAAAAACUUUUUUUUAUUAUUAAACAUAAAUAAAUGAAUGCUUGAUCCAUAAAAAUGAUUAGAAGAUUAAAUUACCUUAGGGAUAACAGCGUAAUUUUUUUAGAGAGUUCAAAUCGAUAAAAAAGCUUGCGACCUCGAUGUUGGAUUAAAAUUUAUUGAUAACGCAAAAGUUAUACAAUUAGGUCUGUUCGACCUUUAAAAUUUUACA
RNAcentral lists this ribosomal RNA (509 nucleotides) under Scymnomorphus sp. AG07. RNAcentral describes it as "partial 16S ribosomal RNA". The stretch from base 383 to 509 matches the Rfam family "Archaeal large subunit ribosomal RNA", at positions 2542 to 2669 of the family's 2987-position model. Lineage: Eukaryota; Metazoa; Arthropoda; Insecta; Coleoptera; Coccinellidae. The record is from RNAcentral.